Non-coding RNA from Podospora anserina, 104 nucleotides. NCBI's taxonomy places the organism in Eukaryota, Fungi, Ascomycota, Sordariomycetes, Sordariales, Podosporaceae. The record is from Rfam.
GAGAGCCGUAUGCAGGGAAACUUGCACGUACGGUUCGGAGGGAGGUCUCUCGUUGCCAGUUCUAAUCUAUUGAUAAGGAUCACGGUGCGGGUUAUCGACCCUAC